This 69-nucleotide transfer RNA is filed under the name Scaeurgus unicirrhus. RNAcentral describes it as "tRNA-Met". The record is from RNAcentral. Lineage: Eukaryota; Metazoa; Mollusca; Cephalopoda; Octopoda; Octopodidae.
AAUAAAGUAAGCUAAGAUUUAAGCUGUUGGGUUCAUACCUCAGAAAUGGAUGUAGAUUUCUCUUUAUUA